UUCCGUAGGCUAACCUGCGGAGGGAUCAUUACUGAGUGAGGGCCUUCGGGCUCGACCUCCAACCCUUUGUGAACACAACUUGUUGCUUCGGGGGCGACCCUGCCGUUUCGACGGCGAGCGCCCCCGGAGGCCUUCAAACACUGCAUCUUUGCGUCGGAGUUUAAGUAAAUUAAACAAAACUUUCAACAACGGAUCUCUUGGUUCUGGCAUCGAUGAAGAACGCAGCGAAAUGCGAUAAGUAAUGUGAAUUGCAGAAUUCAGUGAAUCAUCGAAUCUUUGAACGCACAUUGCGCCCCUUGGUAUUCCGAGGGGCAUGCCUGUUCGAGCGUCAUUUCACCACUCAAGCCUCGCUUGGUAUUGGGCGCCGCGGUGUUCCGCGCGCCUCAAAGUCUCCGGCUGAGCUGUCCGUCUCUAAGCGUUGUGAUUUCAUUAAUCGCUUCGGAGCGCGGGCGGUCGCGGCCGUUAAAUCUUUCACAAGGUUGACCUCGGAUCAGGUAGGGAUACCCGCUGAACUUAAGCAUAUCAAUAGGGCGGAGGAA
Molecule: ribosomal RNA, 539 nt
Filed under: Cercospora chrysanthemi
Lineage: Eukaryota; Fungi; Ascomycota; Dothideomycetes; Mycosphaerellales; Mycosphaerellaceae
Description: eukaryotic LSU rRNA
Rfam family: 5.8S ribosomal RNA (bases 178-331)
Source: RNAcentral